UACGUAGGGUGCAAGCGUUAAUCGGAAUUACUGGGCGUAAAGCGUGCGCAGGCGGUUGUGCAAGACAGAUGUGAAAUCCCCGGGCUCAACCUGGGAAUUGCAUUGUGACUGCACGGCUAGAGUGUGUCAGAGGGGGGUAGAAUUCCACGUGUAGCAGUGAAAUGCGUAGAGAUGUGGAGGAAUACCGAUGGCGAAGGCAGCCCCCUGGGA
This 210-nucleotide ribosomal RNA is filed under the name uncultured bacterium. RNAcentral's name for it is "partial 16S ribosomal RNA". It matches the Rfam family "Bacterial small subunit ribosomal RNA", at positions 524 to 734 of the family's 1533-position model. The record is from RNAcentral.